RNAcentral lists this long non-coding RNA (307 nucleotides) under Glycine max (soybean). RNAcentral describes it as "long non-coding RNA (GMAX_LNC004726)". The record is from RNAcentral. Lineage: Eukaryota; Viridiplantae; Streptophyta; Magnoliopsida; Fabales; Fabaceae.
UGGAGUUUAGCCAUAUUAAUUUAUUAAGUUGAGAUCAAUUCCUUUAAGAUGCUUACGUACGAGAGAAAUUUUCCUUUUGGAAAUGCUUUUUGAGUUUAUUAAAGUGUUGAAAUGAGUGCACUAGAUUUUAUGUAAAUUUACUCAUCGUGGACAAAAGUUAAUCUAUCAAUUUUUAACAUGAAUGAAUGCUUCUGGAUUCUUGAGUUUAAGGGUGCACCUUUUUAUGGGGAUUGUGUGUGGAAAACACAAAGCGUCUGAAUUAGUUAUUGUUACAAUGAUACGCUUUAAUUUAUAAUAUUGAAUGAUG